GUGAUAGCGCCUAGGGUUUCCUACGCCCGCGCUAGAAUCGCUGCCGCGGAAUCAUCGCCGCCGUGAAGUCGCCCCCGCAAGCUGCCGCCUCUCGCCGGCGCGACGGCCUGCUCACACCCCGUCGGGCCGCCACUCGCCGCCGGGGAUUCGGAUCGGGGCCCUGCUCGGCACUCGACUCCUUGGUGGCGGCGGCCCCCGUGACCCGUGGCCCCUGUACCAACCUGUAGUGCCUCGGGCUGGCGAGGGCGCUGCAGCUGACAGCCUCGAUGCAGGUGAUGGGGAGCCCAUUGAAGCUUGACGACGAGCAGGCUAGCCUACUGGAUCGAGUCCCUCAUCUACUGGAUCAUAAAUGAAGCUUACUGAAGCAGGGUGCAGUGACCUGAUCCCUGCCGCUUGUCGAGGCACAGCCUGUAGUGUUUCUAAAGUUGUGUUUGUUCUUGCUCUUCACUUCAAAGCUGUUUGAUGUAUAUGGCGAUCCUGCAUGUGUGAACAUCUAGCAGAAGUACUGAUUGGAGACGAGAGCAAACUUUCUGUAUUGGUUAUGUGAAUGUGACUCAAGAGAUCUGAAAAAAAGUCAAUACAAUGUUCUGAGACAGGCUUUUCAGUCUGAA
This is a long non-coding RNA of Panicum virgatum (switchgrass), 611 nucleotides long. RefSeq lists it as uncharacterized. The record is from RefSeq and is a predicted model, not a curated record. Lineage: Eukaryota; Viridiplantae; Streptophyta; Magnoliopsida; Poales; Poaceae. The transcript is spliced from 2 exons.